UUAUCCACAGUUCNAAAUAGGAUUACCAGGUCACUACAAGUUCGUUCUUAAAAGCCAAAAGUUUUGGCGGACUUACACGAAACGUACAGGGGAAUCUGGGUAUUAAAGGAUGGUCCACCUACAUUUGUUCCUUGUUUUAGCUUCUGCGCAUGUAUGGCCGUUGUAACUAAUGUUUAAUAGCAUGCGUACGAUGGGUCGAUAUAAGUAAUAAGUCACUAAAAACCCCCGAUAUAAGGGAAAAAAGUGUACUUCUUCUUUAUGACCAAGUAAUUCAGGUUGUCAUUUGGCUAUUAACAAGGCGAGUCUGGAUUACAGUUGAAGUUGAGCAUAUCGGAUUUAUUUAGGAAACUUUUUACAUGAAGGAGGACUUGUAAGUAAAAUUGUAAAAUAAUGGCAAUUUGAAUGAAGUGUAGUAGUA
This 418-nucleotide ribosomal RNA is filed under the name Leiosolenus simplex. RNAcentral describes it as "partial small subunit (12S) mitochondrial ribosomal RNA". Lineage: Eukaryota; Metazoa; Mollusca; Bivalvia; Mytilida; Modiolidae. The record is from RNAcentral.